AAAAAAAAAAAAUACAGAAAAAAAUCCAAAAAGGUCAAAAAAGUUGACUGAGCAUCAACUGCCAGUUUUUGAAUUUUGGGGCUUUGCAGUUGGCAGUUGGUGGCCGUCAGUUGGUACCUGCAGAUCGCCAUCUCUCACUGCUCUCUCUUUUGGAAAAAAAUCAGUAAGUAUUUGAAACUAUAAUUAAAAUAUACCUUUGUAGUCAUAACUUUAAGUGAUUUUUCAACAGUUUUUACUAUACUCACAGGCUUUCGGAAAUCGAAUCUGUAUUCUUGACUAGCAGUGUUGGUAGCUACUAGCUACAUUAUUUUUUUUUUUCAGGCUCAAUACUUCAUACAUACUUACCAUGGGGAAAAUUAAACAUUGUAACACAGCUGAAGUGCCUCCAAAGAGGAUUCGUUCCCUAACAUGUAUUUUACAUGUCUCAACUCUUUCUGAAUAUGGUAAUUUUACCACAUUCAACACAUGCGGGGGGCAAUCAUAUCUACACAGUAUACAAGAUAUGAGACUCUGUGGAGACGUCAGUUCAUGUUUGUGAACAGAUUCCAUUGACAUUAGAGGACUUGUCUUUGGAUACAAUUGGCUAUCACCAAUACUGCUAUAAAAGCUUUACUGGGAAAAUAGAUCAUUUACAAGUGUCAAAGGCUUCUACAUCUGGUGAAUCAUUAUCAUUGAAGAGGGAUUCUCUGCGCCAUGUCAAAUCUCUGUCAGUUCAAUCUGAAGGAGCUCCAAGAAGGUGUUCCUUCUUGUUUCCCAAUCAGUGCAUUUUCUGUGACAAAGCAAAAUCCGAGUUCAAGGGCAAGACUGAAAAGCUUACAAAGUUUCAGAGUUGGAAACACAAGGAACCAGCCUGGAAAGUUAUUGAACCUAGGGCACAGGAAUGAAAGAAAGAGGCUCUUUAUCGCAAGGUGCAGGGCAAGGACCUUUUUGCAAUGGAAGCUAAGUAUCAUCCAUCAUGCAGAAACAACUUCAACACAGAGUUCCAAACCCAUGAGCGAAGGGAGAGAGUAGAAAAGGCAGCAGACAACAUUGACAGCCUGCAGGCCCAGAAGAUAGCAGCACAUAACAAGUCAUAUUGUGUGGUAAAGGAUUACAUUCUUAGGAAUGUGAUUGAAUGCAAAGAGGUUGUCCAGCUAAGAUCCAUGUGCAACUUGUACAUGAAGAUAUUGGAAAAUCAAGGUUUUCCUAAUCCUGAAUACCGCAGUGAGAAAUUGGCAAGACGGUUACAAGGAGACAAAGACAUCUCUCAUGAACUCACAUUCUCCAAGGUGAAACAACAUGGGUGUAUUAAGUCGAACCUCAUAUACAGCUCUAGCAUUACUGUAGAUGAAGCAGUUGGAUGUGCGUACAAACUUGGAACAGCUGACCAACUUCAAGAAGCAGCACUCACCCUCCAUUCUCACAUUAUUAAGGCAUUCAAAGAGUCAAAGGAGCUACCAUGGCCCCCGACAGCACAGGAGCUAGAUGCUGUGAAGAUGAACGUGCUUCUUCCAGAGCAUCUUGUACAAUUACUGAGCUCAGUGGUGACUGGGACACUUGAUGGCGAAAAGUGUGAGAAGACACAGAGGCUGGUCUAUUCGAUUACACAAGAUGUGUGUCGAGCAGCAACUAACAGCAAGUGGAAACUCCCAAAGCACAUCCUCCAAUGUGCUAUACUUCGACACCUCUAUCGAAACAAACAGCUCACAACCAUCCUUUCAUUACAUAUGACUUCAGUAUGGAACUUGAGACAGCAAUGGCCAAGGCUUUUGAUGACAUUUCCACCCACCUGACCCCUCAAAUCAUCACCGGUGAGGGAAACACUGUUUUUCACAGCGAGUGGGACAACCUGAACAGAAUCACAACCAACGUUCAUGGCUCAAAUUUUGUAAACAGCACCGGGGGAAUCAUGAUUCAAGAGGUGAAGGAGAGCCAUGUGAGCACCAAGAAGAGGACACUUCCUCUCUAUGACAGGACAUCCAAGAUGAGAAGCCUUAAGAUCACGCCUCCUGAAACGGUCCCAUAGCUGGCAUUCAAAAGAGCUGGCCCCAAAUUCCCCAACAAUUCCAACUUUACCCCUCCUGCUGAGAACCAAGAGUCAUAUGAUGCCUCUUUGUCGGUGCUGACAAAGUCCUGGACUCAAAAUCAAAAGUAGACCUGGAACGCCUGCCAUCCCCCAAAGUCUGUCUCAUCCCACAUGUACAGAGAGCCAACUACAGAGUUGCCUGCUAUAAGAGAGCAGACGAGGCAAUAAUCGAGAGCCCCAAACCAUAUGAUCCAGGCAUGGGCUGGGAGAAGACAGGAGAGGAGGAGGUGUUGAAACCUGUUUGGACAAUUGGACCCAUCCUCCCUCCUUCUCUUGUUGAGGUACUGGCUCAGAGAGCAGAGUCAGAAGAGCAGGCAGCUGGUUCCAACAACAACAACUUGUCUGUGGGUGAAGAGGAUGGAGAGUAUGAACAUAAUGAUGAGGAUGAAGUGCUGGUAGAAAUAGACUUAGAAGAUCUCUUCAGUGAUCAUGAGGAAGAUGAACGGAGCAUAAAGAGACUGGACCUGCUAGUUUGGCACCACCACACACUCAUAUUCUCACUGAUUAGGCUUAAUUAAAAAAUAGAAUGAGUUCCCAGUACAAGCUUAAAUAUUUAUGAAAAUGUUUGUUGCUGUUGUCUUUUCAAGUUUUUACCAUAUUAUUACUAUAAAUUUCUGACUAAUUCUUUAAUAAUUGACCAAUGACUAAUAACUUUUU
Molecule: long non-coding RNA, 2722 nt
Organism: Cyprinus carpio carpio
Lineage: Eukaryota; Metazoa; Chordata; Actinopteri; Cypriniformes; Cyprinidae
Source: Ensembl